GGAAUGCUAGAGAAAAGCAGAAGUGUUGCAUGUUCACAAUACUGUGAACACGAGGAAUGCCAAAGACAUUCAACAUGAUCUAGGUUCUAAAAGCAGGUCAGCAGGGGAAAUAAGUGAGUCUUCUCCAAAACAGAUUGACCACCUGAUGACCAGCCACUUACACUCUCCACCGUGGAUGUCUGUCACACUCUGAGCAUGGUGAAUGCACGAAAGGCAGCUGGCCCCGAUGGAGUACCUGGCCGUGUGCUUAGAGGGCCAUGCUAAUCAGCUAACUGGGGUCUUAUUUGACAUUUUCAAUGUGUCAAAGUCAAAGUCAAUAUGUUCACCAUUGUGCCAGUGACAAAGCAUUCAACUGCUUCAGCUCUGAAUGAC
This is a long non-coding RNA of Colossoma macropomum (tambaqui), 372 nucleotides long. RefSeq lists it as uncharacterized. The record is from RefSeq and is a predicted model, not a curated record. Lineage: Eukaryota; Metazoa; Chordata; Actinopteri; Characiformes; Serrasalmidae. The transcript is spliced from 3 exons.